AUUGAACGCUGGCGGCAUGCUUUACACAUGCAAGUCGAACGGUAACAGGCCGCAAGGUGCUGACGAGUGGCGUACGGGGGAGUAAUGCAUCGGAACGUGCCCAGUCGCGGGGGAUAACGCAGCGAAAGCUGGGCUAAUACCUCAGACGAUCUAAGGAUGAAAGCGGGGGACCGAAAGGGCUCGCGCGACUGGAUCGGCCGAUGUCAGAUUAGUUAGUUGGUGGGGUAAAGGCCUACCAAGCCAACGAUCUGUAGCUGGUCUGAGAGGACGACCAGCCACACUGGGACUGAGGCACGGCCCAGACUCCUACGCGGGGCCGCAGUCGGGAAUUUUACACAAUGGGCGCAAGCCUGAUCCAGCACUGCCGCGUGCAGGAAGAAGCCCUUCGGGUUGUAGACUGCUUUUGUCCGGAGCGAAACGGUCUGGAUUAAUACCCUAGGCUAAUGACGGUACCGUAAGAAUAAGCACCGGCUAACUACGUG
This 482-nucleotide ribosomal RNA is filed under the name uncultured bacterium. Its description in RNAcentral is "partial 16S ribosomal RNA". It matches the Rfam family "Bacterial small subunit ribosomal RNA", at positions 30 to 507 of the family's 1533-position model. The record is from RNAcentral.